CAGAACCAGUGAAACCCUGGGUUCGCUGAAGCGGAGCGUGCGAACUUAACCACUCGGCCACAAGACCAGCCCCUGCCAUUGGUCUUCCUACAUCCCUAAGACUGUAAUAGUCUCUCCAGGCCUCCUCUCUCCCUUAAAGUCAAAGGCCAUCAUCUUCAAAGGCCAAUUCAGUUACGUCCCUAGUCGAUUUCUUGGAAGUGUCUUUACCUAAAUGGGAGACAUUCUUCCUUCUCUUUGGUCUACAACAUUGACUGAAAGAACAGAAGCUGUGCUAGAAAGUAAAGUGACAGUUCAGGUGACAGCACAGAAGGAACCCCAGAACCCUCUAAGUGUUCCUUUGUCCCAGAAUUCUCAUGACAGAAAAAAGAGAGUGGAGAGAAUAACAAUUACUAAAACUUAUUGAGGCCUGACUGUGUGCCAGCAUUGUUCACAGCGCCUCCAUUUAAUCCUCACAGUAACUCUUGGAUUUGGAGCUCUGAAGACAACCCUUUGAAGCCCUGUGGCUCCUGGGACAGCGCCCCUCCUAUAGAUGCCGACACUCAAGUAGGAUGGCAAAGGGACCCUUGAUAAGCAAGGACAUGGCGUUUAAACCCAUGGCUGCUUCAGUCUUCUCCUGAGUGUAUUUCGUUCAGCUGUGUCCCUAGCUGGCGGUCUUCAUUUCACUGAGUGACCCCGGUCGACUAAUGACCUCAGACAAAGACUGGCAAACAAGUCGGAACAUCCUUCAGGACUUCUCUUCACAUUCUUUUCCCUGGUCCCUCAAAAUCACUUUCCCUAGGCUUCUCCUUCCUGUUCUUCAUUGCUUUUCAAUCCUAAUGGUUUCCAGCUGUGUAACUUCCACUCAGGUGCAGUUACAUACGCUUUGAACAUGGAAGAAGACAGUUAAUCUGAAAUUAAAAAGAAAAACCUAA
Molecule: long non-coding RNA, 911 nt
Organism: Equus caballus (horse)
Lineage: Eukaryota; Metazoa; Chordata; Mammalia; Perissodactyla; Equidae
Source: RefSeq, a predicted model, not a curated record